RNAcentral lists this ribosomal RNA (465 nucleotides) under uncultured bacterium. RNAcentral describes it as "partial 16S ribosomal RNA". It matches the Rfam family "Bacterial small subunit ribosomal RNA", at positions 331 to 793 of the family's 1533-position model. The record is from RNAcentral.
CCAGACUCCUACGGGAGGCAGCAGUGAGGAAUAUUGGUCAAUGGGCGCGAGCCUGAACCAGCCAAGUCGCGUGAGGGAUGACGGCCCUACGGGUUGUAAACCUCUUUUGUCGGGGAGCAAAUUCCGUUACGUGUAACGGAGUCGAGAGUACCCGAAGAAAAAGCAUCGGCUAACUCCGUGCCAGCAGCCGCGGUAAUACGGAGGAUGCGAGCGUUAUCCGGAUUUAUUGGGUUUAAAGGGUGCGUAGGCGGCGGUAAAGGCAGGGGUAAAAUGGGGGGGCCACACCCCCCCCCCGCCGUUGAAACUGACGGUCUUGAGUGGGCGAGAAGUAUGCGGAAUGCGUGGUGUAGCGGUGAAAUGCAUAGAUAUCACGCAGAACUCCGAUUGCGAAGGCAGCAUACCGGCGCCCAACUGACGCUGAAGCACGAAAGCGUGGGUAUCGAACAGGAUUAGAUACCCGCGUAC